Molecule: unclassified non-coding RNA, 332 nt
Filed under: uncultured fungus
Lineage: Eukaryota; Fungi
Description: partial contains small subunit ribosomal RNA, internal transcribed spacer 1, and 5.8S ribosomal RNA
Rfam family: Eukaryotic small subunit ribosomal RNA (bases 1-73)
Source: RNAcentral
GCAAACUUGGUCAUUUAGAGGAAGUAAAAGUCGUAACAAGGUUUCCGUAGGUGAACCUGCGGAAGGAUCAUUACAAAACAAUUGGCCUCACGGCCUACGCUGGAAGAGCCGCGGGGGAUUUUCCCCGGCGGUCUCCGACAGUUAACCCACUGUGAAAACCCUUCUUUGCUUCGGCAGCGCCUCCCCGUCCGCGGGGGGGGUCAGCCUGUCGGCAGCACCCAACCAAAACUCUUUUUUGAAUUUGUAAACCAUACGUCUGAGAACGCAGUCGAAUGACACAUAAAACUUUCAACAACGGAUCUCUUGGUUCCCGCAUCGAUGAAGAACGCAGC